UACGGAGGGUGCAAGCGUUGCUCGGAAUUACUGGGCGUAAAGCGCGUGUAGGUGGUGGGACAAGUCUGCUGUGAAAGCGCCUGGCUUAACCGGGCGAGGUCGGCGGAAACUGUUCGACUCGAGGACGGUAGAGGGGGGUGGAAUUCCCGGUGUAGUGGUGAAAUGCGUAGAGAUCGGGAGGAACACCUGUGGCGAAGGCGGCCCCCUGGGCCGGCCCUGACACUGAGACGCGAAGGCGUGGGGAGCGAACGGG
This 253-nucleotide ribosomal RNA is filed under the name uncultured bacterium. Its description in RNAcentral is "partial 16S ribosomal RNA". It matches the Rfam family "Bacterial small subunit ribosomal RNA", at positions 524 to 776 of the family's 1533-position model. The record is from RNAcentral.